Gasterosteus aculeatus aculeatus (three-spined stickleback) is the source of this 6834-nucleotide long non-coding RNA. Lineage: Eukaryota; Metazoa; Chordata; Actinopteri; Perciformes; Gasterosteidae. The record is from Ensembl.
AUGUGCAGUGUCACGCCUACGACAAAGGCUAAAUUAAAACACGUGUAAAAAAUGUAAUCUAUCACAAUUUUGGUUAUUUGGUGUCCAAAGGUGCUAAAUGUGGGUCAAAAUCUUAUGGAUAAUUUUUUACUUGGAAAUGAAAAAUAUUUAAUGUAAAUUUCUACAUUUUUGAAAAAUAUUUUUGGACCCUUAGAAAGCCGAGAAUGGUGAAUAAUCUGGCUGAACUUUUCCUUCAAUGCUCAGAUUGUUUACCCAUUACAUGUCUUUCUUUUAUUUGGGAUUUUUUUCCUGGAACCCCUGUGCGGCUCCAAAGGGAAAACCAUGUCUUGUUGCAGCCGUCUUAUUUAGUUAUUUUCACAUCUGUUGUGAUAACGUGCGGCUCAGGAAGAUAACUUCAUGAGGGCAACAGACAACAGCGUAUCAUCCGAAGCAGUGGUUUGGAGGUUGGCAGUGGUACGACGCGGUACAGAAGGUCAAAGGUCAGCCCAGAGGUCUUCCUACAGGAUUGUGUCACGUCAUCACAAACAAUGAGGCAGAAAUGUGCAAAAAACAGUUUUGUCAGGGAACAGAAAACCACCACUUCUCACGUAGAGCAGGAGGCCAUCGCACCUCCUGAAGAGGAUCCGAGCGGAGGGAAGGGGGGGGGGGGGGGAUUUCCCGUGAAUUUAGCUACUACUUGUUUCCGUGACACCCAUCAUUUUCUGGUUACAGUGGAAAAAUUGACAAAGUUGUGUUGGUGGUAUUUCAAACAGCAUGUGUCAGAUUUCAUGCUGAGUGUGGGGCCGGCAGCAUGCGGGCAGGUUGCGCGACUGUGUUUAGUUUAUUUCCAAAGCAGUUUUUUUUCUUUCACCUGCGGAAGGAGGAAUGUAAAUUAAACACACAGGAACUUCUCCAUUUCCUCUUGCAGUCACCUCAGAUCACAUUUGUUUGUGCACGGCGAUUUAAAAACGGAGCGUUUAAAUUUAAUACUUUUUUUUAAAAAAGCCUUCAGAAAAAUAUGAAUUUUUUCGAAAAAGUUCAUUCCUGCAUGUCAUGUAAUAAAUCAUUUUUAAAAAGCCCAAAGAAAGGCGAGGCCGAGUCUACACACUUCUUCUAACGACGGCCUCUCCCCGACUCGACCGUCCGCAGUCCUUCUCGGCGGUCGGACUCCUUCAUUGGUCAGUAAAACAUCUGCUGGACACAAAACAGCUUCUUCAUUCCCAGCUUUUCCGCUCCCUGAAGUCGGUUCACCCCACGAGCAAACCAGACGAGGUUAGAGAGGGCCGACGUCGACACAGGGAGUGGUCUUAGUCCCCUCUCAAAGAUCAGCGUGUGCAGAGCACGGCGACACUUUGGUUUGAGCUCAUGAAACGGAUGAAAUCGCUGGCGGAAGUGAGCCUCCUGCAUCUGACCUCACAUCCUCCCGGGCGGCGCUGGACCCGCGGGGAGACCUAAUCCUCACUUAAUGGAGUUGUUAAACGUGCAAAAACAAGUGAGCUGAAUCUCCGGAUUGGAUGAUAUCGACUCUCUUGACAAUUGUUUUGUGUAAAGUUAUCGUAACAUCAGUCAGCCAUGACCGCGUGAAAUGAAACGCCCGUUGGCCACGGGGGGGGGGGUGUUGGGGCUUGUAGUAUGAGCGAUGCGAUGAGAGUUUAGAGAUUGGUGCCUGUUUCUAGAACAUUUCUAGUUCAGAAACACAACAAAGCAAAUCAUCAGACCCUGUUUAUCUGCUGGAAUCAUUAGCACAACAGGCUAACUAACGGUAGCACUUUCUGAGGUGUUGUACCUCCCACUGAACCCAAACACUUAUUCUAAUACGUACGCAUACUGAGCUUACGAGCUGACGGAGGUUUUAUGGUUGUAAGCUAGUGGGAAAAAUGGAGCUGGGAGUUCAUUCAUCCAUGUCGGGUGUUUUUAUAGUAACCUGAGGAGAAAUAUCGUCCAUCUCCAGAGAAGACACAGGAACCGAAACGAGUCGUAGCUUGGUAAAAACAAACGGGUUAACACUUGAUUCCCUCCUCAUCUCACUGGUUUAAUAUGAUAUCGAUGAGUAUGAUGCUCCUUUUGGUUUUUUACAACCCUCGGAGAUUUUAUUCCAUCCUCACUUUCCCAUCCUGAGCUCCCGACGUCCUCCCGCUGAAUGAGUCAGGACUUGGAGAUGGAAACGGGCCUCCAGAGGCAGCGAUGAAACUUUGGAUCUGCUGUAAUGAGAACCUCAAGCUCUUUCUGAUCUAAAAGAGCUGCCGAACCGCCAGUAAAAUAUUCAGAUCUGUUAAGAUCCGCAAAUUGCUAGAAGUCGAGACCCUUUUCUGCAAAUAUACAUUAUUAAACUUUUAUUAGGCAAUAGCAUUUCAUGACUUCCUCAGAGGUGAAACCAUAGUAACGGACUAACUCAAUAUGAAGACACCUUUUAUGACCAUUGAUGUCAUUUUGCAGAAACGUGUACCGCAAAUUGGCCGAGGCUUUUACUUUGGAGGAUAAAACUUUUGCAUCCGGAAAGUCCCAAGUGGUUCCAAUGAGGUUCAUUAUUUAUAAAGAUUAAGGCUAAAGAUAACGGUUCUUAACAGUCCAAUGUUUAUGUUUUAUGAGACUGUGCAAUGUUACCAGGAGGAUUUGUCAUAGUGCUUAAUGUAGACAUUGUUUCCUUAAACAUGUGGUUAAUAAUAAUGGCUCAAAGGGUGUUAACAGGAUAAAGAAAUGCAAAAUUUACCUCAGAGUACAAAGUUGCAUCGCAUAAAUUAUAAAGUAAUGUCGAAAUACUUCCUCAUUCAUGGUUUGAGGAGUACACAGGAACACAAUGUGUGAUUGACAGGUGGAGGAAAAAUUGAGACAAAAUAAAAACACUAGGAUUUCCCCUUUAAAGUGACGUAACCAUCUGUAGACGCGUGAGCCUUUUUGUCAGAUGUGGAGAAAAAAAAGAGACCAGAUGGAAAAAACAUGGGAAGCAAUUAAAAGCUUUGAGGUCGUCCAUCGCAAAGAGGCUUCUGUCCUCGACACUUCAGGAGCAGGAGGACGCCUGCUAAAGACAUUCCCUUUCUUCACUCCCCCCUCUUUGGAUAGUUAUUUAUUUGCUUACACAGCUUUCCAAAUGAGCCCAAUCAGCCACCAAAGGUCAAUAACCACACAACACCUGUCCCAGCCGCCACUAAAUGGAACAGAGUCUGCUUCCUUUGUUGAAUAAAGCCGGACGUCUUCUUCAGCUUCCUCUCCUUCAUCAUCAUCUCAAUCUGCUUUUACUUCAUCAUCUUCUUCUUCAGCUGUUUUUACUUCUUUCUCCUUCUUCUUUCUCCUUCUCGGUGCGUUCCCACAAGCUGUCUGCUUUCCGCGAGUAUUUAUGGGCAGAUGAGGAGGGCCGUUUCAAGGGAACCCGACACCACAUUUACUGCAGAUUGCUGUGGAAUGAUGAAGUGGCCCAUUUGGUUCAGAUCCACUAUUUGUCCACUGCAGGCUUUGCUCUGUGGAUCAUCAGAUAUUCACCAGGACAGACCACCUGUAGCGACCAGAAAAAGGGAGAUGUUAUUUAUGUUGAUUUAGCGGGUUGUUGACUCAGUAAAAUGGCGUUGAGGUCGGCGACGUCUUUUCCAAGGGAAACCGCAGCGCGACCACGUCGGUAAUCAAACAUGUUCACAGCUGUUGUGGUUUGAAUGAAGGGUUGUUGUGUUGAUGAAAAGUUACAGGCCAAUAUUUGAACAUUUAAAAGAGGUCCUGCGGACUGCUGCCCUCAAAGCAAACUGCACGUAAAUGUUCUGCCUGAUUCAAACAUUCAUUUAGUGCUUCUGUGAAUAAUUGAAUAAUAAAAUCUAAAACAACAAAUUGUGAAAAUGGGAUUAUUGUGACAAAUUUAAUGAAAGAGUUAUUAUUUUUAUUUUUCUGUGAUUAGCCGCCGUUGAGCAACUAAACUAUAAAAAUCCUUUUGAAAUGCCCCGUUGUAAAAUUGUUAUUUGUGGCUCAAUAAUAAGGUUUACUGUUUAAUGAAGAUUAGCAAUUAAUUUAUCCUACUAAAUUGAUUAUUUUAUUGAUUUGAUUGGUUACAUCAGGAGGAAACAAUGUGUCAACGACGGCUUUUGGGGUUUAAACAAAAAAAGAUUGACUGAGUAAAAAACUAACAUGAUAACAGGUAAGAAAGAGACACUUAAUCCAGUAAAACCUUUUCUUUUUUUGCAAAGAUUAAGAAUCGUAAUGACGUCUAAAUCAACGGGACUGAGCGUCUGCAGCUCCUUUAAACUUAAACUCAAACUCCCUGCUUCUGUUUUUUUAUACUGCCGGGCCGAUUCUGGCCCUGGUCUCGGCGCUGCCGAGGCCGACGAUCCGCACCAAAUGUUUCACAUUACCCAGUGUGAAAACCCUUCCUAUUCCUCAGGUUCUCUUUUACAAGUACGCACACAUCCGUGGAAACGUGAUAUUUCAUAUUUCAUUCUGGUUUGUGGAUGUCGUUGCAAGCGGACGCCGGUUCACAUGCAACCCGUCCGACCGCCGCCUUUGAUCAGCCCGACCGCGGCUAAUUGCGGGCGGAGAACAAAUGAAAGAAAUAUCGGAAGAUUUCAUGGGAAUUGCCACUCUGGCCCGACGCCGCUAUUAGCAGCCAGAGCGGCCAGUGAGCGCUGGGAGGUUCAGCCUGUUUCCUCUUACACCAAGAUCAUUUUGAAAAAACACGGCUCAAACAAACUCCCCUCCGUGCUGCUCGGACGCGCUCGAGGCUUCCAGGGUUUAAGGUUUUCAUCGUCACACUGAAGCCAUAACUUCUCAUGCGAAUGGAAACAUAACAUUUACGCUGCGCCUUUUUAAAGAGAGAUUUAACAGCGUGAGCACAAGUCCUCCCCACGCCGAAAGUGGAACUUUUCUUUCAGUCGGUCAUAAAUUGCAUCCAGAAACAUGAUAGCACAAACCACAAAAUCCCCAAAUGUACUUGAAAGGUAUUCGCGACAGAGAGCUGGAUUGUUCUGGCUAACAGAAAUUCAUUCCACGGACCAAAUAUCAAGGGAAAGAUGUUAAAAAGUUUAUUCUUAAAGCGGCGUAAAUGUUUAAGAGUGGCCAGGGAAUCCCGCGGGGCUCCUUCGCUGUCCCUCACUGCUCCUCGUACAGGAUGUGACUGGUUUUCAAAAACCCAACGCUCACUCAAUCGCUCUCUCUUCGACAGUCUCAGGUCAGCGUGCAACAAAGCUCCUUGUCUCGACAAACGCGGCGCAAAAAUAAAUUUCCACAUGCUGCUUCGGUGCACAAACAUGUCAGACAAAGCGAAGGUAUGUAACCAUCCAAGUAGCACGUUGACCUGGGAGCGUCUGUAAAAAGGCGGCUGAUUUUCCGGUUAGGAGGGCAGGUUAGCCACGGUCCCAGCAGCAGGUGACUGGAGUGAGGUCAUGAUGUGGUCAUGGGAGGGGGGACAGCAGGCCAGUGUGUGUGUGUGUGUGUGUGUUGAGACCUCGGAACAACUGCUGUGAGGGAGGUGAAACACAUCAGAGGCCUAAAGUGUUUUUCCCCUCGGCUGAAGGUGUCGUUUCACACCGCUGAGCACGUCUGCUGUGGAAUCCCGAAAGUGACAGCGGGCGGAUUGAUUUGCUUCUCCAUGAAAGAGAUGGACUGCUACUACGAGCCCCAGGAGAUAACAGGGGCAGAGGACCACGGCACGCACCGUGCAGUGAGACCCAGAACCACCUGUGUUGCAUUUAGACCACUUCAUCUUGUGUCUCUCGCAGAACAUCUUGGAUCUUCAGUUGGUCAUUUUCUCCCGCUGACAUGAUUUAGUGAUCCUUCAUCCUGCGUCUCAUAUCAAGUCUUUAGAAAUCUGAAAGAAGGAGGAAUGCUGGUAGUUCUUAAAACGGUGUUUUGAGGGACUUUUUAGCUCUUAUUUCAAGGUAGGUUCUCUUGCGGGACAAGAGGAGCCAUAACAAUGAGGCCAUGCAGCACCGGGUUAAAAACCUGGGAGCCGCAGAAACGUAAAGCAGAAACAGCUCGUAAACAAAGGAAGGAAGAAAAAGACGUCUGGACCAGAGCGUGUGAGAGCCGGUACUCAUCUGGCUAACCCGGUAGCACAAAGGCUAACCCAGUAGCACAACAGUUAACCCGGUAGCAUAACGACUAACCCAGUAGCACAACAGUUAACCCAGUAGCACAAAGGCUAACCCAGUAGCACAACAGUUAACCCAGUAGCACAAAGGCUAACCCAGUAGCACAACGACUAACCCAGUAGCACAAAGGCUAACCCAGUAGCACAACGACUAACCCAGUAGCACAAAGGCUAACUUAGUAGCGCAAAGGCUAACCCAGUAGCACAACGACUAACCCAGUAGCACAACAGUUAACCCAGUAGCACAAAGGAUAACCAGUAGCACAUCAGUUAACCCAGUAGCACAAAGGCUAACCCAGUAGCACAACAGUUAACCCAGUAGCACAACGACUAACCCAGUAGCACAACAGUUAACCCAGUAGCACAACAGUUAACCCAGUAGCACAAAGGCUAACCCGGUAGCACAUCAGUUAACCCAGUAGCACAACAGUUAACCCGGUAGCACAACGACUAACCCAGUAGCACAACAGUUAACCCAGUAGCACAACGACUAACCCAGUAGCACAACAGUUAACCCAGUAGCACAACGACUAACCCAGUAGCACAACAGUUAACCCAGUAGCACAAAGGCUAACCCGGUAGCACAAAGCCUAACCCAGUAGCGCGUAUGAUAACCCAGUAGCACAUCAGUUAACCCAGUAGCACAUGGGCUAACCCAGUAGCGCGUAUGAUAACCCAGUAGCACAGCGAAUAACCCAGUAGCACAUUGUUUACAACAACAAGCUCCUGUGUCAACAAGGCCUCUCACGUUUGGAAAAAAACACAGUAGAAAAAGUCUCUAACUGACACUU